Molecule: ribosomal RNA, 517 nt
Filed under: uncultured fungus
Lineage: Eukaryota; Fungi
Description: SSU rRNA
Rfam family: Eukaryotic small subunit ribosomal RNA
Source: RNAcentral
AUUAGAUAAAAAACCAAUGCCCUUCGGGGCUUUCUGGUGAUUCAUAAUAACUAAACGAAUCGCAUGGCCUUGAGCCGGCGAUGGUUCAUUCAAAUUUCUGCCCUAUCAACUUUCGAUUGUAGGAUAGAGGCCUACAAUGGUUUCAACGGGUAACGGAGAAUUAGGGUUCGGUUCCGGAGAGGGAGCCUGAGAAACGGCUACCACAUCCAAGGAAGGCAGCAGGCGCGCAAAUUACCCAAUCCCGACACGGGGAGGUAGUGACAAUAAAUACUGAUACAGGGCUCUUUUGGGUCUUGUAAUUGGAAUGAGUACAAUUUAAAUCCCUUAACGAGGAACAAUUGGAGGGCAAGUCUGGUGUCAGCAGCCGCGGUAAUUCCAGCUCCAAUAGCGUAUAUUAAAGUUGUUGCAGUUAAAAAGCUCGUAGUUGAACCUUGGGUCUGGCUGGCCGGUCCGCCUCACCGCGUGCACUGGUCCGGCCGGACCUUUCCUCUUGGGGAUCCGCAUGCCCUUUACUGGG